This 439-nucleotide ribosomal RNA is filed under the name uncultured Tulasnellaceae. RNAcentral's name for it is "LSU rRNA". It matches the Rfam family "Bacterial large subunit ribosomal RNA", at positions 1654 to 2081 of the family's 2925-position model. Lineage: Eukaryota; Fungi; Basidiomycota; Agaricomycetes; Cantharellales; Tulasnellaceae. The record is from RNAcentral.
UCGACACAGGUUGGUAGGUAGUGAAUAUUAAGGCGUAGAGAUAAUACUUGUAAAGGAACUCGGCAAGUUGUCUUCAUAAGCUAGACGAGAUGAAGAUCCAAUUAUAUAUUUUUUAUUUAGGUAAAUUUUAUAUAUAGGGUGGCACAGAAUCGGAGGCCCCGACUGUUUACUUAAAACACAGACAUUUGCAAGGAUUAAUUUCUUUGUAUAGGCGUUGAAUUUUGCCCGAUGCCAUUUAUAUAAGGUUAAUAGGCGGUUUGCGUUUUAAUUUUCUAAAAAUCUGGUCAAUGGCGGUGUUAUCCUGAGGAUCCUAAGGUAGCAAAAUUAAGUGUCCAUUAAAUGUGGUCCCGACUGAAUAAAGUAACGAUGGUCUCAGUGUCUCUACAAGUAUCUCAGUGAAAAGACUUAGCCGGAAGAUGCGCUGCUCCCCUUUCUUGCG